RNAcentral lists this ribosomal RNA (218 nucleotides) under uncultured Dechloromonas sp. Its description in RNAcentral is "partial 16S ribosomal RNA". It matches the Rfam family "Bacterial small subunit ribosomal RNA", at positions 48 to 270 of the family's 1533-position model. Lineage: Bacteria; Pseudomonadati; Pseudomonadota; Betaproteobacteria; Rhodocyclales; Azonexaceae. The record is from RNAcentral.
CUUACACAUGCAAGUCGAACGGCAGCGGACCUUCGGGUGCCGGCGAGUGGCGAACGGGUGAGUAAUGUAUCGGAACGUACCUUUCAGUGGGGGAUAACGUAGCGAAAGUUACGCUAAUACCGCAUAUUCUGUGAGCAGGAGAGCAGGGGAUCGCAAGACCUUGCGCUGAUUGAGCGGCCGAUAUCAGAUUAGCUAGUUGGUGAGGUAAAGGCUCACCA